This 518-nucleotide ribosomal RNA is filed under the name uncultured bacterium. Its description in RNAcentral is "partial 16S ribosomal RNA". It matches the Rfam family "Bacterial small subunit ribosomal RNA", at positions 355 to 864 of the family's 1533-position model. The record is from RNAcentral.
UGGGGAAUUUUGGACAAUGGGCGAAAGCCUGAUCCAGCAAUGCCGCGUGUGUGAAGAAGGCCUUCGGGUUGUAAAGCACUUUUGUCCGGAAAGAAAUGGCUCUGGUUAAUACCUGGGGUCGAUGACGGUACCGGAAGAAUAAGGACCGGCUAACUACGUGCCAGCAGCCGCGGUAAUACGUAGGGUCCAAGCGUUAAUCGGAAUUACUGGGCGUAAAGCGUGCGCAGGCGGUUGUGCAAGACCGAUGUGAAAUCCCCGAGCUUAACUUGGGAAUUGCAUUGGUGACUGCACGGCUAGAGUGUGUCAGAGGGGGGUAGAAUUCCACGUGUAGCAGUGAAAUGCGUAGAGAUGUGGAGGAAUACCGAUGGGCGAAGGCAGCCCCCUGGGAUAACACUGACGCUCAUGCACGAAAGCGUGGGGAGCAAACAGGAUUAGAUACCCUGGUAGUCCACGCCCCUAAACGAUGUCAACUAGUUGUUGGGGAUUCAUUUCCUUAGUAACGUAGCUAACGCGUGAAG